This 217-nucleotide long non-coding RNA is filed under the name Elaeis guineensis (African oil palm). RNAcentral describes it as "long non-coding RNA (EGUI_LNC022043)". The record is from RNAcentral. Lineage: Eukaryota; Viridiplantae; Streptophyta; Magnoliopsida; Arecales; Arecaceae.
CAUCAAUAGUGCAUUUGAAAGGCUUGCCUCUAAUGAGAGAUGGUAGAUUUGUGCCAUGGUAAGCCUCUCUCCUGGUGAGAGGACAAGGAAUUAAAUAUUUUUAUUAGGAAAUAAGAAAAAUAGGCAUGGUUUGGUUGGAAAAGCUAGCACGGAGUGCCGGAGAGACUGGACAGAAUAUGGCAGCAUGAAGAUGGAGAAAGAAGAUGGCAACGUGAAG